UCAAAAUGUUGAUUUGUGAAUGCAGGCACAUUCUUAACAAAAACCUGAUCUUGUAUAUUAUUUGAACAGUCUAGAUUGGCAUGCGUGUGUAUGCCAUGUGUGCAUUGAAUUGAUUUGUUUACAUGCUCACCGAGAGUUGUGCGGAUGUUACCUUUUACCAUCCAAAGAUGGCCAGUGAUAGUCUAACGGUGUCUUGAAAUUUGAUUUCCGAGCGUCUAUUUUGAAUUUGGCCGCCCUUUGCUGUUGCUGCCUCUUGGAUGCUUGCUUCUGAGGUGGGAGUAACCAAUGUAUAUUUUCUUUUAUUUGCACAUAAAUGGUGAGCCUGUGGCAUGACUUGUCAUGAAAGUGUAUUAUUCUGUUUCUGCAUUUGGUAGGAAAAAAAAAAAAAACA
This is a long non-coding RNA of Magnolia sinica, 391 nucleotides long. RefSeq lists it as uncharacterized. The record is from RefSeq and is a predicted model, not a curated record. The transcript has 2 exons. NCBI's taxonomy places the organism in Eukaryota, Viridiplantae, Streptophyta, Magnoliopsida, Magnoliales, Magnoliaceae.